GAUGAACGCUGGCGGCGUGCCUAAUACAUGCAAGUCGAGCGAACGGACGAGAAGCUUGCUUCUCUGAUGUUAGCGGCGGACGGGUGAGUAACACGUGGAUAACCUACCUAUAAGACUGGGAUAACUUCGGGAAACCGGAGCUAAUACCGGAUGAUAUUUUGAACCGCAUGGUUCAAAAGUGAAAGACGGUCUUGCUGUCACUUAUAGAUGGAUCCGCGCUGCAUUAGCUAGUUGGUAAGGUAACGGCUUACCAAGGCAACGAUGCAUAGCCGACCUGAGAGGGUGAUCGGCCACACUGGAACUGAGACACGGUCCAGACUCCUACGGGAGGCAGCAGUAGGGAAUCUUCCGCAAUGGGCGAAAGCCUGACGCAGCAACGCCGCGUGAGUGAUGAAGGUCUUCGGAUCGUAAAACUCUGUUAUUAGGGAAGAACAUAUGUGUAAGUAACUGUGCACAUCUUGACGGUACCUAAUCAGAAAGCCACGGCUAACUACGUG
This 497-nucleotide ribosomal RNA is filed under the name uncultured bacterium. RNAcentral describes it as "partial 16S ribosomal RNA". It matches the Rfam family "Bacterial small subunit ribosomal RNA", at positions 28 to 507 of the family's 1533-position model. The record is from RNAcentral.